This 540-nucleotide ribosomal RNA is filed under the name Staphylococcus pasteuri. Its description in RNAcentral is "bacterial SSU rRNA". It matches the Rfam family "Bacterial small subunit ribosomal RNA", at positions 57 to 580 of the family's 1533-position model. The record is from RNAcentral. Lineage: Bacteria; Bacillati; Bacillota; Bacilli; Caryophanales; Staphylococcaceae.
GCAGUCGAGCGAACAGAUAAGGAGCUUGCUCCUUUGACGUUAGCGGCGGACGGGUGAGUAACACGUGGAUAACCUACCUAUAAGACUGGGAUAACUUCGGGAAACCGGAGCUAAUACCGGAUAACAUAUUGAACCGCAUGGUUCAAUAGUGAAAGGCGGCUUUGCUGUCACUUAUAGAUGGAUCCGCGCCGUAUUAGCUAGUUGGUAAGGUAACGGCUUACCAAGGCAACGAUACGUAGCCGACCUGAGAGGGUGAUCGGCCACACUGGAACUGAGACACGGUCCAGACUCCUACGGGAGGCAGCAGUAGGGAAUCUUCCGCAAUGGGCGAAAGCCUGACGGAGCAACGCCGCGUGAGUGAUGAAGGUCUUCGGAUCGUAAAACUCUGUUAUCAGGGAAGAACAAAUGUGUAAGUAACUGUGCACAUCUUGACGGUACCUGAUCAGAAAGCCACGGCUAACUACGUGCCAGCAGCCGCGGUAAUACGUAGGUGGCAAGCGUUAUCCGGAAUUAUUGGGCGUAAAGCGCGCGUAGGCGGUU